GUGCUCACUUCAGCAACACAUAUAAGUGAAAGUGGAAUAAACAGAGAAUAUUAGCAUGGUCCCAGUGCAAGAAUAACAUGCAAAUUUAUGAGGUGUUCCAUAUUUUA
Small nuclear RNA from Cynocephalus volans (Philippine flying lemur), 107 nucleotides. NCBI's taxonomy places the organism in Eukaryota, Metazoa, Chordata, Mammalia, Dermoptera, Cynocephalidae. The record is from RefSeq and is a predicted model, not a curated record.